UGGGGAAUAUUGCACAAUGGGCGCAAGCCUGAUGCAGCCAUGCCGCGUGUAUGAAGAAGGCCUUCGGGUUGUAAAGUACUUUCAGCGGGGAGGAAGGCGAUAAGGUUAAUAACCUUGUCGAUUGACGUUACCCGCAGAAGAAGCACCGGCUAACUCCGUGCCAGCAGCCGCGGUAAUACGGAGGGUGCAAGCGUUAAUCGGAAUUACUGGGCGUAAAGCGCACGCAGGCGGUCUGUCAAGUCGGAUGUGAAAUCCCCGGGCUCAACCUGGGAACUGCAUUCGACACUGGCAGGCUAGAGUCUUGUAGAGGGGGGUAGAAUUCCAGGUGUAGCGGUGAAAUGCGUAGAGAUCUGGAGGAAUACCGGUGGCGAAGGCGGCCCCCUGGACAAAGACUGACGCUCAGGUGCGAAAGCGUGGGGAGCAAACA
Molecule: ribosomal RNA, 427 nt
Filed under: uncultured bacterium
Lineage: Bacteria
Description: partial 16S ribosomal RNA
Rfam family: Bacterial small subunit ribosomal RNA
Source: RNAcentral